Long non-coding RNA from Acinonyx jubatus (cheetah), 2337 nucleotides. RefSeq lists it as uncharacterized. Lineage: Eukaryota; Metazoa; Chordata; Mammalia; Carnivora; Felidae. The record is from RefSeq and is a predicted model, not a curated record. The transcript has 2 exons.
CUCUGCUCUGCGUGGCAGCCGGCUCUCUUUGUCUCCUCUCUCUCUUACAGACACACAACUGAGGAACAAUUUCUAGUUCUGUGGUUGGCACCAAGACACCCUUCCAGAAUUGGUUCCUAAUAGGUUAACUCAAACGUAGCAAUGAAAGAUUACAAAUGACCAAAGGAAAAUAAGACGGUUACAGGUGCCUUUCUCUCUCUGUCAGUCCACACCAAGGUGGCCGAGAUGCUCCAGAGCAAACAGAUGGGAGGUCUGGAAUCUAACUGCUACCUACUCACAGGCUGUACGGGGGCAGGGCAGCGGGAGGGCUGUGGGAGGGUCCCCAUCCCCUAUUUACAGAGCUGGAUAAGAAUUCCUGCCCCAGCAAGGGUAGGAGAGUCCACAAGGUGGGACAGACACAGGGCUGUGAACGUGUCUUUGGGAACUGCCUGACCAUGCGGGGCUCCCUGCCGGGCCUGCUCCCUCCCUGCUUAGCACACAGAGCACAGGAGAAUCUGGUUCCUCUGCUCCCCAGGCAACAGCAGCCGCCCUGUGGGCUCCAUGGAGACCAGGUAUAUUUAGACCACAGAAUGUUUAGAACAGCCUCGGCAGUCCAGGAGGUGGAAAUCCAAAAGCAGGAAAAUCCCACGGAGCGAAGCGUGGACGGAUACCUGACUUCAACUCACCUCUUUUAUAAAUGAAAUCCAUGAUGGCCCUGGUUACAUGAGCUCGACUCAAACUCUGAGCCCCCUGAGCUGCAGGGCCACCUGACCCCUGAGCUGCCUCUCACCUGAUGCUGCUGUGGGUGCGCUUUGGGCGAGGGACGAGUCUUAAGGAAAACGAGUGGGCACUGCCUGCCUUGCCUUUGGAAUUCUAUUUACAGUGUGACCACUGCCGGGUCGAAGUGGCCCUGUGGCCCUCUCAGACACCGGCUCUUCUUUCCAAGGCAGAAACUCAGAGGAAAGGCUGAGGUCAAGCCAUGUGCUACCGUUUAUUACCCACCUUUGGCGUUGGGGUGCCCCUAAGCCUUGAUGCCUGACCUCCCUCGGGAGAGGGACCCCACGAGGGUUCAUCCCCAGCAGAGACCACUGGAGAAGAGGUGGUGGGGUCAGAACCACCCAAUGCCCCCCGGGGAGCCCACCGAAACCGUGUCCCACACUGGUCUCGCAUGAGCAUUUUGCACUGGCUGCAGGCACAGACUCAUGGAUUUGAAGAGAAGGCUCAUCCUGCAUUCCCUCAAAAAUAAACCAGCAAACACGCAAACAAGGCAGGCAAACUGGAGUCUUGUAAGUCUCAGCAAAACUUCAUAAGGAUAAUAAUGCCCGAUCCAAGGAAUGGAAGGCCAGGGCCGACAGCUUUUCUGUGCGGAAUCUCCACUGGAGUCUAAGACAAGGCUGGUCCUGGCCAGGCUGAAGAAUUUUGGAACCCAAGAGUGCAAGCACCCGUAGAAAUCACCAUAGAAAUUACACAGCAGAGUUUCCUGGGGGCUUCCAUGGUGGUGGGGGGGGGGGGGCUGGUCCAAGUGAGGCUGUCAGUGAAUCAAAGUUUGACUAUCAUACACGCGGAAGAUCAGAAGAAUCAUCUCUCAGCCAGAAUCCUCGUUCUGUUGGCAGGGAGAUCGGGGCGCAGGGAGGCGAAGACACUUCCUGCCCCUCCAGGCCAGUGGCAGCCCCAGGGAGCAGGGGCUUGGUGGGUUCUCGUCACUGCCGGUUCCUAGUGACUGGAAGAGCACCCAGCACAUCACGGUCACUCAGCAGUUAUUUGUUCAACGGACACGUGCUCUUAAGGAGGACUGAGAGGGUGGCUUGAUCAUCUGUUAUAGUUUCAAGACAGACAUCAUGGGGAUGGAAAAGGCCCAGAGAAACGAAAAGAGCAACAGCCAGAAACAUGGUUCGAACCCAGCUCUGCUCUUUAUGAGCCUCACAAGCCUGGCAAGUUCCUUCUCUACACCUCAUCUCCCACAGGUAUGAGAUAGGGCCCGUGGCCUAUCCUGCAAGUUUGUCGUGAGCCUGACUGAGGAAAUGCGUGUAAUGGGCAGGUGCUGAAGAAACUCAAUGGAGGGACUCCUCUGGGAUCAUUACCCUGCUGCCUCCUGUACACUUGGGCAUUUCGUGCCUCGGCGGUCUGUGACACCCAAAAUAAAGAACCUGGGGAGAAAGCGUGAGCAGAGGUUGACUACUUACUUAAGUUUGGAGAUUUUUGUGGAUUUCAAGUCUACGUUAGUCCCUUUCUCAUUCUCAUAGGUUACCAGGUUUCUCAGAAUCUGUGAGUCCCAACUCUUUAAGACAGUGAAUCAUGGGAGAGAAGUGUUUCUAGGAAACUAAUACUUCCUUCCUUAUGUAUUUCUUGUUGUUGUUU